RNAcentral lists this long non-coding RNA (1226 nucleotides) under Papio anubis (olive baboon). RNAcentral describes it as "lncRNA (ENSPANG00000038336.1)". The record is from RNAcentral. Lineage: Eukaryota; Metazoa; Chordata; Mammalia; Primates; Cercopithecidae.
GAGGACCCACUUCUGAGAAGAUUCUCAGGAAUAUCAGCCUGCCUGGACUGGGGUAACUUGAAAGCUGGGUCAACUAGGAUGGGUCAGCAAAGCACCUACGCAUGGCCUCCCCAUGUGACUUGGACUUUUCACAAUAUGACAGCUGGCUUCUGAGAGGGAACUUCCUGAGAGGAGGCCCUCAGAAAAUGAACAUUGCAGGACCGGUGGAAGCUGCGUGGACUUUUCUGCCCUAACUUUGGAAAUUACACAGUGUCACUUCUGCAGGGCUUUACUGGUCAAUGCAGUCACAAGCCUGCUCAGAUUUCAUGGUAGACACCCCGCCUCUCAAUGGAGGGGUGUCAAAUACUUGGGCCUAGGCUUUUAAACCACCACCAUUAUGAGAUAUAUUUGUUCACAGUGUGGAAGAUGGGCUGGAGGGGAUAAAAUCAGAUCACAUGCGUAUGUAGAGGCUGAGGGGGAGGAGGACUCUUCCUGACUGAAAAGGGCUGAGAAUGGGGGAGGGACAGUUCCCAAAUGAAAACUGGGUAGUAUAGCAGACAAGGAGGAAAUGAGUUUGAAGGGUCUGAACACAUCCGAGAGGUAGCGGGCACUCAUUGAUUAAAUGGCCAGCAUAGAUAAUUGUCUUGAUAAAAGUUGGAUAUUGAGUCAAAUUGAGAAUCAAGAAAGCAAUUGGGGCUGCAGAUUUCGGAGCCAUCAGCAUACGAAUGGUAGUUACAGGAGUUCAAGACCAGCCUGGGCAACAUGGCAAAACUCCAUCUGUAUGAAAAAUACAAAAAUUAGCUUGGCAUGGUGGUGCACACUUCUAGUCUCAGCUACUCAGGAGGCUGAGGAUUACAGGUGUGAGCCACCAUGCCUGGGCCAUUUAUGUCUUUUGAUCAUUUUUCCAUAGGGUUGUAUCUUUUUAUUUGUUUGUGGAAGUUUUUUAUCUAUUCUUGACACCGAUCUAUUGUUGUCUACUAUCUCUUCUCAGUUUGCAAUUAGUUUCUUUACUUUUGCUUUCCCUAAGGUAGCUUUUGAAGAACACAUGUUCUUAAGUUUAUUGUAGUCAAAUGUAUUUAUCCCUUAUAUUAUUGCCAUUUUUUUUGUCUCUUGUUUAAGCAACCUUUCGCUAUUCAGUCUUAAACAUAUCUGGAUAGAUAGAUAGAUAGAUAUAAAGAGAUAGAUAUAGAUAUAGUUUGGUGUUUUGGGGGUUUUUUUUGUUUGUUUGUUUGUUUGUUUUUUAGAUG